UACGUAGGGGGCGAGCGUUGUCCGGAAUUAUUGGGCGUAAAGAGCGUGUAGGCGGUUCGGUAAGUCUGUCGUGAAAACCUGAGGCUCAACCUCGGGCGUGCGAUGGAUACUGCCGGGCUAGAGGAUGGUAGAGGCGAGUGGAAUUCCCGGUGUAGCGGUGAAAUGCGCAGAUAUCGGGAGGAACACCAAUUGCGAAGGCAGCUCGCUGGAACGUUACUGACGCUGAGACGCGAAAGCGUGGGGAGCAAACAGG
RNAcentral lists this ribosomal RNA (253 nucleotides) under uncultured bacterium. RNAcentral's name for it is "partial 16S ribosomal RNA". It matches the Rfam family "Bacterial small subunit ribosomal RNA", at positions 524 to 776 of the family's 1533-position model. The record is from RNAcentral.